GUGCUCACUUCAGCAGCACAUACAUUAAAAAAUUAGAAUGAUACAAAGAGGAUUAGCAUGACCCCUGCACAAGUAUGACAUGCAAAUUUGUGAAGCAUUCCAUAUAUUU
Molecule: small nuclear RNA, 109 nt
Organism: Jaculus jaculus (lesser Egyptian jerboa)
Lineage: Eukaryota; Metazoa; Chordata; Mammalia; Rodentia; Dipodidae
Source: Ensembl